Molecule: long non-coding RNA, 1402 nt
Organism: Bombus pascuorum
Lineage: Eukaryota; Metazoa; Arthropoda; Insecta; Hymenoptera; Apidae
Exons: 2
Source: RefSeq, a predicted model, not a curated record
CAAUCGACUGACUAAUUAUCGGUCAUUACGCGGUGCCGGUGGCGCGUUCCUGGUUGCGUCAGUAGCCCAUUUGCACGGUGGCUCGCGAAUAAAGGAGAAAUUUCAAUGAAGAACCGUGGAAAGAAGAGGUUUCGAGGUCACACGGAGAAUACACAAUUUUAUGAACGAAACGGAGGACCUCUGAAAUAUUCUCGCAGGAAACUUUUCGUGUUACGAAACUUUUCUGCGGAUAACCGAGGAUAUAAAUAGAAUGUAUGGAAGAAAUGUUGUUCGAUUGGUAUUAUGCAAUAGGUAUCAAGGCCAAAGAUCAAACGAAUGGAUUAACUUUUGUGACCGAAUGUAAAUUUUAACAUUUACAUACAUACAAGUACAUUGCAAUAAACAAUGUCGUUUGAAAAAGUCUUCACACGAGUAAUGUUUAUCGUGUAAAAAAUAGAAAGACAAAUGUAAAAGAAGAUAAAGUAGAAGUGGAGAUACGCAAAGUGCACAACCCAGAAAACAGACGUUAACCUAAUUAAGAAAUGAAGAAGAUUCUAAUCUGCUCGUAAUGAAAAUUCAUAAUUUAUCAUUUUCCCUUUCUUCGUAUUUCGCACGGUAAUAUUGUACGAAAAUAUUAAUCUACAAGUAUAAUUUAUUUAUAGUAUUACAUUACCGAUAUUCUACCAAAUUACUCGGUAUAAUUCAAGAUAAGGAUAAAAAAUAAGAGUUUCAUGCACGUCAAAUUUCUUCUGUUCUUAUUUCAUACGGAAUCACAUAGAUCAAUCUUCUUCUUAAUUUAUGUCACCUUAAUUACGGUCCAAAAGUCGGAUAACGUAACGUAGCGAAUGGUUACGUAAGAACGUCUGACAUUCACGUGUAACUUGCAAUAUUUCUUCGAUGUUUCGUCGAUUUAUCUUUUUUUUUUUUUUUUUUUUCUUUAUUAUCGUCAAUGAUAUUCCAGUAUGGGUACGGCCUCGUGGAUCAAAUUGCAGUACCUAUGCACGUAAUGAUCCGGACACCGGAAGUCAAGCCGGUGAUCUUGAUAGCACCAUUCUCGAGAGACGCGCGUGCGAUUCACGCGAACCCAUUUCACGAUUGUGCCGAGUUGUCACGAAUAAUUGCAUCGAGUUGUAUCGAGCGUGGUUUAUCUUCGUCGUCGAAAAGGCGAUUGUUUGCAUAUUUUGUAAUUGGUAUGGAAGACAGUAACAUCGUUACACAAUACGUUGUAUAUAUAAAUAGAGGAAGAAAAUGUUAAUGCAAAGGAGAAAUUUAUAAAAGAAGAUAUAUAUAUAUAUAUAAUUAAAUCUUGUUUUCAUAUGAAACUUGCUUUUUAUCGUGAAAUUUGUAUUAUUCUAAACAUACGUUCUAUACAAGAAAAUUUUAAUACGUUUAUGGAGGAAUAAAUAAUCACCAUUUUAACAAA